Anneissia japonica is the source of this 1225-nucleotide RNA transcript. It is a transcript of the gene named alpha-N-acetylgalactosamine-specific lectin-like, with no coding region annotated. The record is from RefSeq and is a predicted model, not a curated record. NCBI's taxonomy places the organism in Eukaryota, Metazoa, Echinodermata, Crinoidea, Comatulida, Comatulidae. The transcript has 3 exons.
GUGAGUCUUACUGACUUGAGCGUUAUAUAAAUUAUGCGGGACUAUAACGCCUAUUGCACAAGAAGUUAUACUCUAUCAUUCCCACCAUCUUUACGAAGUGAACUUGCAAGACAGCAAUGCUAUUCAAAGUGACAUUGUUGCUAGGUAUCUGUGCCUCGUUGGCAGCAGCAGUACCACCACCACCGAAAGGUUACCCGACUGCUCAAGCAUGUGGUAAAUGUCCCGCAUUUUGGGUUCCAUUUCAAGGAAGUUGCUACCGCGUCUUCGGGAACAGAUUGGAUUGGGCAGACGCAGAGGAGAGUUGUAAAGCACUCUUCAACAAGAAGGCAACUGGCCAUCUAGUCUCUAUCCAAAGUGAAGAUGAAAAUAGGUUUGUUUCACAUCUUUGGGAUUCGUCUACCGGUGGAUCGACUGAUUCCAGUAAUCGAGCUUAUUGGAUUGGAUUGUCAGACAUAGCCGAGGAAGGCACUUACGUAUGGUCUGACAGCGAUACGGUAGCAUCCUAUACAAAUUGGAAACAGGGGGAGCCUAACAACGCAGGAAAUGAAGACUGUGGUCACGUCACGAAGUCGAAUGACGAGAUAUUGCUUUGGAAUGAUACGGAAUGCUAUCAUACACUGUCCUUCGUGUGUGAGCUUCCACAGUAACGUUGCACAAUGUUAAAUAUCCUAUAAUGCACCAGUGCCUAACAACGCUGAAUCGGCUUAAAAAAAAACGCUUUAAGAAAUACAAAAUUUGAACAGUACCGCAAUUUGUAGAUUGCAAGUGCAAUCCAUAUUAAGCUCCAUUUCUAGAAAAAAAAAUGAAAGAAAAAGUAUGCCCAACAUUCUAACUCCUUAAUUCCUAAAGGUAUUUCUAACUUUAAUAAAUAGUUUAUUUAGAUAGUUCACUUCUUCAAUUAGGUCUAUUUCUACAGCAUUGCCUAAUUUGGCCAACAAUUAACCAUGUUUUUCUCGUUUAUGCUAGUUUUAUAAUAUGUCAUAACGGUAGAUCAAAACAUCACCAUUAUUCACUCCAACUAUAUCUGCUUUGUAAUAAUUUAAAUAAACAUGAGCAGCUGUUAAUAUAAUCGCAUUCGUGCCAUAAAGAAACUAUAAGAUUUACAUUACUAUUAGCAUAUCAUAUCAUAGACUGCUUGUUUUUCAUUUCUUUACUGUAUCAACAGCUAAUUUUGAUUAACGAAUUUGUGUUUAGAAAUAAAUUCAGCAUUGCUAAAUCAGAAUCA